Molecule: non-coding RNA, 879 nt
Organism: Pantherophis guttatus
Lineage: Eukaryota; Metazoa; Chordata; Lepidosauria; Squamata; Colubridae
Source: RefSeq, a predicted model, not a curated record
CUUGAAAGCUGACUGGGCCAAUCACCAGGAGACUGGGAGUUCUAGUCCCACUUUAAGAAUGAAAACUGGGUGACUGGGCCAAUCACCAGGAGACAGUGAGUUCUAGUCCCGCCUUAAGACUUGAAUGGCUGGGUGACUUUGAGUCAAUCACCAGGAGACUGGGAGUUCUAGUCCCACUUUAAGAAUGAAAAGUGGGUGACUUUGGGCCAAUCACCAGGAGACAGUGAGUUCUAGUCCCACAUUAAGACUUGAAAGCCGGCUGGGUGGCUUUGGCCCAGCCUCUCUCUCUCUGCCCAACCCACCUCACAGGGGGGUUGUUAUAAGGAAAAUAGGAGGAAGAAGGUGUUGUGGCCCGUACGUGGCCUGUGCAGCUGGUGGCUGAUUCGGACAGCGAGGAGGCUGGUGUGGUGCUGUGCCAGCAGCCUGGGCAGCUGGCACUCGAGUUAGACAAUGAGGAGGCUGGAGAAGAUGUGAUGCCAGAGGCGGGGAUUCAGCCAGGGCCUCCAGAAGCUCCCAUAAGUGAAGAGGACAAAGAGGAGGAGCCUCUUCUCGAUGCACGAGAGCGCAGAGCGGCCAAAAGGCAGGAGUGGCUCAUCAGGAGGAGGUCUCCUCGAGAGUAAGGCUUGGGGCUAAUUGGCCACUCUCUUAGCCUAUUUAAGGAGGAACGCCGACUGAAGCAAUUUGCAGGGAACAACUUUAGUUCACUCUCCUUCGCAUCUGGAUUCUCUGCAAAUUGCUUCUGGGCUUUAUGCCAACCAUAGUAAGGUUAAGAUUAUUUAUUCUUUGGAUUCUUGCAGGCUGUUAAAAAAGUAAUUAACAGCCUUUGUUUGGAAAAAAAACCCCCUGAUUUUAUUUUAGUAAACUAAGGUUUGUACAGAC